Long non-coding RNA from Carassius gibelio (silver crucian carp), 2829 nucleotides. RefSeq lists it as uncharacterized. The record is from RefSeq and is a predicted model, not a curated record. Lineage: Eukaryota; Metazoa; Chordata; Actinopteri; Cypriniformes; Cyprinidae. The transcript is spliced from 6 exons.
CACAGUAUUGACAAGAAAAGAGUUGUGAAACUUUCUAUCUCGUAAGGAGUUAUGAACGUGAAAUAGUGACACAGACUGGCUACACCAUCUCAUCUGCAGCAGAGAUUGUUGUAUCAGAAGGACAGCGCGUUUGUUUGAUGCACUUUUCACUUCAACUGUGUCUGACAGGAGAAUUAGCUUUCUGAGCCUUCUAGCCGUUGAGUUACCAUGGCAACCGCGUACACAUCAGCUGCUGGAGAGGAGAGGACUCGUCUGACAUUUUCUCUGUUUCUCGUCAGUUAUACCAAAGAAAAGGCCAACAACUGCGACAGAUUUGUUAAGUAACACGUUAAUAUCAUCCACAGUCUACUUUAAGUACUUUUUGUUAAUAUUUAUACCUCUGCGAUUAUGGUAUUUUUCCUGAAAUGUCUGCUAUCAAGUAUUACGCUAGCAUAGAAACAUAAUUAACGUUAUAGCAUAAUAGAUUUGAGCCCUUAUUAAUGAAAGUUUGGCCUUUUAAUUACAUCUUAUGCCUAAAGGAUCGGUUUUGAUCGUUUUGUAAAUGUUUUUGAUGGUAAUUUGUCAAUAGAUAAAUGAAAUAAAGUUAAGCUAAUUAAUUUAACCUAAAAAUCUGCAUUGUAGAGUCUAUCAGUGACGUCACUCGUGGUCUAAAAUGGGCUGAAACUAUUUCAAACCACUGUUUCAAGCUUGUUCUGAUUUAUCAUUGUAAACAAAUAUUGAUAAAAAAAAUUGUACAGUGAUUUCAGGAGUGUCUUAAAAACCCUCUAAAACAGAGGAGAAGUUCCAAGAAAAUGUCUAACGGGACCUGCUGACAGAGAUAGAAAACACAGUUUGUUUAUUUCUAAUAAGGAGCUGGAGGCCGUGAAGAUACAGAUCCAUGAUAUUGUGGAGAAGCAGGCCCAGCUGAGCGAGUGGAGAGCUGUGCUGGAAAUAUUCAGGGGUUGAUGCUCAUAAGUCCAGGGUAAGUAUACAGCUAACCCUACUACCACCUCUACUCUGUGUGGUUCUCUGCAAAGGCCCGGUGUACCCAGGAUGCGAUCUUCCCAGAUGUCCUUCACCCUAUUUCAUAGUGUAAGACAUGAUCCAGGCCCUGGGCGACGACCUCUCUCCAUCCGCCGCCUCCGGUCUUCAGGAUCUCCACCAGAACCCGAUUCGCUCCACUUCGCGAGACAGAACAAAACGCUGUGAUCAUCAGAGACUCCAUCGUCCGGCACGUUUGCGCUAUGUUAGCUGAAGGUAAAGUCCACACUGACUACUUCCCUGGUGCUCAUGUUCUUGAUAUUUCUGCACAGAUUCCCGUGACCCUGAAGAGUGAGGUGGGCAUCAGAGCGGACGGAGACACUGAAGAGGGACUUCAGGAGCCUGAUCAAGACAGUGCGCAGCAUAUCGCCUGCAUGAUGAUCAUCGUGUCAGGACCACUUCCCACGUAUAGAUGAGGACAUGAAAGGCUUUUUAGAUCUCCUGUUGGACAACAUCUCCAGGACACUUCGCUCCAUAUGACUAGGCAGUUUGUGAAAAGAGAUAAUCAAGAGAAGUCAGUUCCAGAUCCACCCUCCACACCAGACCUCUCUCUCACGAGGAUUGCUGUCUACUAGCAUAUUGUGUUCUUCAGCUCUUCAGACUUCGGUGGAUGCAGAUAUUACUCAGGGACAUGAACACUAGAAUAUUGCAAGAAUAGAGAAAAGGGACUUUGCGGGGGAUUCUUGAAAAUAGAUUAGCUUCACACAGACGUCUUCUAACUGUCACAGUACUUACAGGUAACUCCAGACUGUCUUUGAUCAUCCUGGAGGUGAUCAUUGGCUGAGCCUUUGCCAUUCUGGUUAUUCUUCUAUCCAUUUUGAUGGUUGUCUUCCGUUUUCUUCCACGUCUCUCUGGUUUUGCUCUCCAUUUUAAGGCAUUGGAGAUCAUUUUAGCUGAACAGCCUAUCAUUUUUUUGCACCUCUUUAUAGGUUUUCCCCUCUCUAAUCAACUUUUUAAUCAAAGUACGCUGUUCUUCUGAACAAUGUCUUGAACGACCCAUUUUCCUCAGCUUUCAAAUGCAUGUUCAACAAGUGUUGGCUUCAUCCUUAAAUAGGGGCCACCUGAUUCACACCUGUUUCUUCACAAAAUUGAUGACCUCAGUGAUUGAAUGCCACACUGCUAUUUUUUUGAACACACCCCUUUCAACUAAUUCAACUAAUUGCCCAAUUGCACAGCCUUAAGAGCGUGCAUAUCAUGAAUGCUGGGUCUCGUUUGUUUUCUGAGAAUCUACUGAACCUACUGGUAACUUGUUUGCCACGUAGCAAUAAAAAAAUAUACGAAAAACCUUGAUUAUUCUGGUUAGUCACAUUGUACUGCUAUUAUUUUGAACAAUACUGUAUAUAUUUAGAUAUAUUUUUGUGGCAGUGUGAACUGGCCAUAAUGCUGUAUGAUAGGUGUGAGAUUCAUUAAACUUGAUUUGCUAUAAUACAUCUGUUCAUAAGCUAUAGCAUAUUAUUUUCAAUGAAUUAUUUGUAGUGGUUUGGUUAAGGGUGUGAUUAGCUGAAGAUUAUUGUGGGAUCUUGUGAUUAGUUGAUGAAUGUGUGCAUUGUUAAUGAUAAUAUUUAAAUGCAAUGUACUGAGUGCCUACUAAGACUUGCAUGUUGUGCAUAAUGUUUUGACCCUGGAUGCUUACAGAAGGGUAUAGAUAUUUCAAUAUAUGGAAAUGUAUUUAUUAUUAAUAUAUCUCAAUCUAUGUGCUUCUGUAUGGGCUGAAUGCUUUCAUUCAUAUUUCGCUGUAUAUCCUGUUUUUAUUAAUAAUCUGGGUGUAUUACUGUUCAUAUUUGCUUGUUAAUAAAUUAACUGAAUUCA